RNAcentral lists this ribosomal RNA (780 nucleotides) under uncultured bacterium. RNAcentral describes it as "bacterial SSU rRNA". It matches the Rfam family "Bacterial small subunit ribosomal RNA", at positions 626 to 1404 of the family's 1533-position model. The record is from RNAcentral.
CAAGAAACUGAGAUCUUGAGUGCAGGAGAGGAAAGUGGAAUCCCCAGUGUAGCGGUGAAAUGCGUAGAUAUUGGGAGGAACACCAGUGGCGAAGGCGACUUUCUGGACUGUGUCUGACACUGAGGCGCGAAAGCUAGGGGAGCGAACGGGAUUAGAUACCCCGGUAGUCCUAGCCGUAAACGAUGGGUACUAGGUGUAGAGGGUAUCGACCCCUUCUGUGCCGGAGUUAACGCAAUAAGUACCCCGCCUGGGGAGUACGGCCGCAAGGUUGAAACUCAAAGGAAUUGACGGGGGCCCGCACAAGCGGUGGAGUAUGUGGUUUAAUUCGACGCAACGCGAAGAACCUUACCAGGGCUUGACAUUGAGUGAAAGACUAAGAGAUUAGUUCCUCUCUUCGGAGACACAAAAACAGGUGGUGCAUGGCUGUCGUCAGCUCGUGUCGUGAGAUGUUGGGUUAAGUCCCGCAACGAGCGCAACCCUUAUCCUUUGUUGCCAGCGCGUAAAGGCGGGAACUCAAGGGAGACUGCCGCAGACAAUGCGGAGGAAGGCGGGGAUGACGUCAAGUCAUCAUGCCCCUUAUGUCCUGGGCUACACACGUACUACAAUGGGCUUAAACAAAGCGCAGCAAAACCGCGAGGUUGAGCGAAACGCAUAAACAAGCUCUCAGUUCGGAUCGGAGGCUGCAACUCGCCUCCGUGAAGUCGGAAUCGCUAGUAAUCGUGAAUCAGAAUGUCACGGUGAAUACGUUCCCGGGCCUUGUACACACCGCCCGUCACACCA